Molecule: RNA transcript, 1831 nt
Organism: Drosophila teissieri
Lineage: Eukaryota; Metazoa; Arthropoda; Insecta; Diptera; Drosophilidae
Gene: Ugt303B2
Gene name: UDP-glucosyltransferase 2
Exons: 3
Source: RefSeq, a predicted model, not a curated record
UGACAUGAGCGGACCAACAGCGUGAAAAUGCGCCCCAGCUGUGCUUGGCUGGCCUUCGGCCUGCUUUUGCAGCUGAAUCUUCACCUGGACUUGGGUCAAGCGGCCAGCAUCCUGGGCGUGUUCCCGUACCGCAUUCCCUCUCCCUUUCAGAUGGUACGACCUUUGAUGAGGGCGCUGGUGGAGCGGGGACACAAGGUGACGAUGGUCACACCCGCUGGUUAUCCGGACGAGAUAGACGGAGUGCGGCACAUACGAGUGGCCACGCUGAACCAGCUCAUGCAGAAUCUAAUGGACAACGACCAAUUCGUUGACGCAUUGGGUGAUAAAUGGAAGGAGGGUGUUCUCGCAUCCACGAUUUUCUACAACGUUUCCCAUGCCAUUCUCAGCGAUACUGGUGUUCAGUUGAUGAUGCGGGAUAGAAGUGAAAGAUUUGAUAUGAUCAUGGUGGAAGCUAGCCACCUGGAUGCACUCUACGGACUGGCUGAGUUCUACAACGCCACCCUGCUGGGGAUUUCGUGUAUGCACAUGAGCUGGCAUAUCGACUACUUGGCGGGAAAUCUGGCUCCGAGUGUAUAUGAGCCCGUGUCCCCUAUCGGGUUUGCCCUCGAUGACUCACUCCUAAGUAGGGCGUUCAAUUGGAUUUAUAUCACCGAGGAGAAGCUCCUGGAACGCCUAGUUUACCGACCCGCCCAAGUGCGAUUGCUAAAAAAGUUCUUCGGAUAUCCGGCGGAGAAGCUGGAUGAGCUACGGUCCAGAUUCUCGGUCAUCCUGGUUAAUACCCACUUCAGCAUGGGAAGGGUGCGAGCCAAUGUGCCCAACAUCAUUGAGGUAGCAGGAGUGCAUCUCAGCGAGCCCCCAGAGCCAUGUGGUGCGGAGCUGCAGAAAUAUUUGGACGAGGCCGAGCACGGCGUCAUCUACUUCUCAAUGGGCCAGGAUAUCCUGAUGAAGUAUCUGCCGGAAAAUAUGCAGAAGCAACUGCUGCUGGCCUUCUCCCGGUUGAAACAACGGGUGAUUUGGAAGACUGAGCUGUCCGUGCUGCCGAACCAAUCGGAAAACAUAUUUCUGUUGGACAAUGUGCCCCAGCGAAUGGUGCUGGCGCAUCCCAAUCUCCGGCUGUUCAUCUCCCACGGCGGCCUGCAGAGUGUGAUGGAGGCCAUUGACAACGGAGUGCCCAUGCUGGGAAUGCCUCUGUUCUUCGACCAGUUCAAUAACAUGCAUCGAGUGCAGCUAGCCGGAAUGGCUAAGGUCUUGGACCCCAACGAGUUGAACGCAGAUACUCUCAUCGAAACUAUCACAGAGCUACUGGAAAAUCCUAGCUAUGGGGAAACAGCUAAAGAAAUGGCAGAGUCCUUCAGGGAUCGACCAAUGAGUCCUCUGGAGACUGCCAUCUGGUGGACGGAGUACGCUCUGCGGAAUCGGGAUACUUCUCACAUGCGUCUCGAUGUAGAGGCGAUUCCUCUAAUGCGAUACUACAGACUGGACAGCUUACUCACCGUGGGAGUUCGCUUUGCCUUCGUCGUUGGAUCGCUGAUCUUUCUGGGCUGGAGGUUGUACGAGAAAAAUCGCAAUAGGAAUAGAAGACUUCGAGAAAGGCAUAUGGCGUUUUCGCAGAUACAAUUGCGAUUGAGAGAUUAUGAAGCAGUAACCUAGAUUGCUUCAAUUUCAAUUGCAAGUUGAGGUACACGCUUUCUAGAUCUCGAAUUUUAUAAGAUUUGCUCAGUUGCGGUCAGAGCUCCAACAUGAACGAACCGAAUUCGUGAAAAUGUGCCUCGGAUAUUGCUGGCUGACUGUCUGCCUGUGCCUGCUGCUGCAACAGGAUCUUCACCAGGAC